GACGAACGCUGGCGGCGUGCCUAAUACAUGCAAGUAGAACGCACAGUUUAUACCGUAGCUUGCUACACCAUAAACUGUGAGUUGCGAACGGGUGAGUAACGCGUAGGUAACCUGCCUGGUAGCGGGGGAUAACUAUUGGAAACGAUAGCUAAUACCGCAUAAUAUUGAUUAUUGCAUGAUAAUUGAUUGAAAGAUGCUAUUGCAUCACUACCAGAUGGACCUGCGUUGUAUUAGCUAGUAGGUGAGGUAACGGCUCACCUAGGCGACGAUACAUAGCCGACCUGAGAGGGUGAUAGGCCACACUGGGACUGAGACACGGCCCAGACUCCUACGGGAGGCAGCAGUAGGGAAUCUUCGGCAAUGGACGAAAGUAUGACCGAGCAACGCAGCGUGAGUGAAGAAGGUUUUCGGAUCGUAAAGCUCUGUUGUAAGAGAAGAACGGGUGUGAGAGUGGAAAGUUCACAAUGUGACGGUAUCUUACCAGAAAGGGACGGCUAACUACGUG
Molecule: ribosomal RNA, 505 nt
Filed under: uncultured bacterium
Lineage: Bacteria
Description: partial 16S ribosomal RNA
Rfam family: Bacterial small subunit ribosomal RNA
Source: RNAcentral